RNAcentral lists this ribosomal RNA (497 nucleotides) under uncultured bacterium. Its description in RNAcentral is "partial 16S ribosomal RNA". It matches the Rfam family "Bacterial small subunit ribosomal RNA", at positions 28 to 507 of the family's 1533-position model. The record is from RNAcentral.
GAUGAACGCUGGCGGCGUGCCUAAUACAUGCAAGUAGAACGCUGAAGCUUGGUGCUUGCACCGAGCGGAUGAGUUGCGAACGGGUGAGUAACGCGUAGGUAACCUGCCUCUUAGCGGGGGAUAACUAUUGGAAACGAUAGCUAAUACCGCAUAAAAGUCGAUAUCGCAUGAUAUUGAUUUGAAAGGUGCAAAUGCAUCACUAAGAGAUGGACCUGCGUUGUAUUAGCUAGUUGGUGAGGUAACGGCUCACCAAGGCGACGAUACAUAGCCGACCUGAGAGGGUGAUCGGCCACACUGGGACUGAGACGCGGCCCAGACUCCUACGGGAGGCAGCAGUAGGGAAUCUUCGGCAAUGGGGGCAACCCUGACCGAGCAACGCCGCGUGAGUGAAGAAGGUUUUCGGAUCGUAAAGCUCUGUUGUAAGAGAAGAACGAGUGUGAGAGUGGAAAGUUCGCACUGUGACGGUAACUUACCAGAAAGGGACGGCUAACUACGUG